Macaca fascicularis (crab-eating macaque) is the source of this 148-nucleotide unclassified non-coding RNA. It matches the Rfam family "Metazoan signal recognition particle RNA". Rfam says of the family: The signal recognition particle (SRP) is a universally conserved ribonucleoprotein. It is involved in the co-translational targeting of proteins to membranes. The eukaryotic SRP consists of a 300-nucleotide 7S RNA and six proteins: SRPs 72, 68, 54, 19, 14, and 9. The record is from Ensembl. NCBI's taxonomy places the organism in Eukaryota, Metazoa, Chordata, Mammalia, Primates, Cercopithecidae.
GCUGGGAGUGGUGGCACACACCUGUAGUCCCAGCUACUCAGGAGGCUAAGGUAGGAGGAUUGCUUGAGCCUGGGAGAUCGAGGCUGCAGUGAGCUAUAAGGGCUUCGCUGUACUCUAGCCCAGGUGACAGAGCAAGACCCCAUCUCUU